AGUGAACGCUGGCGGCAGGCCUAACACAUGCAAGUCGAACGGCAGCACAGCAGUAGCAAUACUGUGGGUGGCGAGUGGCGGACGGGUGAGGAAUACAUCGGAAUCUGCCUAGUCGUGGGGGAUAACGUAGGGAAACUUACGCUAAUACCGCAUACGACCUACGGGUGAAAGCGGGGGAUCGCAAGACCUCGCGCGAUUAGAUGAGCCGAUGUCCGAUUAGCUAGUUGGCGGGGGUAAUGGCCCACCAAGGCGACGAUCGGUAGCUGGUCUGAGAGGAUGAUCAGCCACACUGGAACUGAGACACGGUCCAGACUCCUACGGGAGGCAGCAGUGGGGAAUAUUGGUCAAUGGGGGGCAACCCUGAUCCAGCAAUGCCGCGUGAGUGAAGAAGGCCCUCGGGUUGUAAAGCUCUUUGUCAGGGAAGAAAAGGUUGUGGCUAAUAUCCACAGCUGAUGACGGUACCUGAAGAAUAAGCACCGGCUAACUACGUGCCAG
RNAcentral lists this ribosomal RNA (495 nucleotides) under uncultured bacterium. RNAcentral describes it as "bacterial SSU rRNA". It matches the Rfam family "Bacterial small subunit ribosomal RNA", at positions 29 to 511 of the family's 1533-position model. The record is from RNAcentral.